CUCGGCUCGGCCCGGGCGCACCUUUUCUCCCUCCUGCCACAAUGUGAGCGCUCAGCCGAGCAGAUAACCGCCGGCUGCCGCUCCACCCCCGGCCCUUGCCCACUCCGCCCACUCCCGAGCGCCCAGAGGACGCCGACUGCGGGAAUGGAAGAAAUUUUUCCACUGCAGAAGAACAAUGUGGUGCCUACGGGAACAUGCCCUGGGAACGUUCUCCAUUCCUCCCAGCCAGGCACUCUGGGCAAUGUGAAGAACCCAGGAAGGAAAACUUAAGGAGACCAUGGUGGGUAGCAGAGCAGGAUUUGGGGAAGCCGUGAGCACGGCUCCAUCUGACCGCCAGUAUGUCUGUCUCCAUCAGUGUCUACCCGCCCUGCUCACACGUGCCUCUCACCCACUCCAUGGGCAACAGGCCUAUCUUUCCCCCAACAUCAAAAGAGCUAUUUCAGUGACUGUCACCAUACCUGGUCCAUAGCCUCUAGUCUAUAUAUGUCUGUCAAAUUAAUUGGCUAUAAACAUGGAAAGGUUUCUCAUGAAAAGAUU
Long non-coding RNA from Mastomys coucha (southern multimammate mouse), 537 nucleotides. RefSeq lists it as uncharacterized. The record is from RefSeq and is a predicted model, not a curated record. The transcript is spliced from 2 exons. Lineage: Eukaryota; Metazoa; Chordata; Mammalia; Rodentia; Muridae.